GAGGUCGUGGCGUAACGGCAGCGCGUCCGCCUUUUAAGCGGAACGGUAAGGGUUCGAAUCCCUUCGACCUCA
This 72-nucleotide transfer RNA is filed under the name Planctomycetales bacterium. RNAcentral describes it as "tRNA-Lys". It matches the Rfam family "tRNA". Rfam says of the family: Transfer RNA (tRNA) molecules are approximately 80 nucleotides in length. Lineage: Bacteria; Pseudomonadati; Planctomycetota; Planctomycetia; Planctomycetales. The record is from RNAcentral.